GACGAACGCUGGCGGCGUGCCUAAUACAUGCAAGUCGAACGAGAGCGACCGGUGCUUGCACUGGUCAAUCUAGUGGCGAACGGGAGAGUAACACGUGGGUAACCUACCCAUCAGAGGGGGAUAACAUCCGGAAACGGAUGCUAAAACCGCAUAGGUCUUCGAGCCGCAUGGCUUGAAGAGGAAAAGAGGCGCAAGCUUCUGCUGAUGGAUGGACCCGCGGUGCAUUAGCUAGUUGGUGAGGUAACGGCUCACCAAGGCCGUGAUGCAUAGCCGACCUGAGAGGGUGAUCGGCCACAUUGGGACUGAGACACGGCCCAAACUCCUACGGGAGGCAGCAGUAGGGAAUCUUCCGCAAUGGACGCAAGUCUGACGGAGCAACGCCGCGUGAGUGAAGAAGGUUUUCGGAUCGUAAAACUCUGAUGUUAGAGAAGAAC
This 434-nucleotide ribosomal RNA is filed under the name Granulicatella adiacens. RNAcentral's name for it is "bacterial SSU rRNA". It matches the Rfam family "Bacterial small subunit ribosomal RNA", at positions 28 to 450 of the family's 1533-position model. The record is from RNAcentral. Lineage: Bacteria; Bacillati; Bacillota; Bacilli; Lactobacillales; Carnobacteriaceae.